GCCUGUAAGACGGGGAUAACUUCGGGAAACCGAAGCUAAUACCGGAUAAUAAAGAGAAACUCCUGUUUCUUUUUUGAAAGUCGGUUUCGGCUGACGCUUACAGAUGGGCCCGCGGCGCAUUAGCUAGUUGGUGAGGUAACGGCUCACCAAGGCCACGAUGCGUAGCCGACCUGAGAGGGUGAUCGGCCACACUGGGACUGAGACACGGCCCAGACUUCUACGGGAGGCAGCAGUAGGGAAUCUUCGGCAAUGGACGAAAGUCUGACCGAGCAACGCCGCGUGAGCGAUGAAGGCCUUCGGGUCGUAAAGCUCUGUUGUCAGAGAAGAACAAGUACCGGAGUAACUGCCGGUACCUUGACGGUACCUGACCAGAAAGCCACGGUUAACUACGUGCCAGCAGCCGCGGUAAUACGUAGGUGGCAAGCGUUAUCCGGUAUUAUUGGGCGUAAAGCGCGCGCAGGCGGUUCCUUAAGUCUGAUGUGAAAGCCCACGGCUCAACCGUGGAGGGUCAUUGGAAACUGGGGAACUUGAGUGCAGGAGAGAAAA
Molecule: ribosomal RNA, 546 nt
Filed under: uncultured bacterium
Lineage: Bacteria
Description: bacterial SSU rRNA
Rfam family: Bacterial small subunit ribosomal RNA
Source: RNAcentral